RNAcentral lists this long non-coding RNA (1060 nucleotides) under Heterocephalus glaber (naked mole-rat). RNAcentral's name for it is "lncRNA (ENSHGLG00000041406.1)". The record is from RNAcentral. Lineage: Eukaryota; Metazoa; Chordata; Mammalia; Rodentia; Bathyergidae.
AUUUACCUGUCUGAAGCCUAAUUUGUAAGAUAAUAAAACCCACAUCUGCACCAUGACUUCCUGGACAUGUGAGCAGAGUGAAGCCACUGGUUGUGUCCAUUUCUCAAGAAAGUUACAGCAUUGGACAGAGAGGAAGACCGGGUGUAUCCAGCUAACCCUCUGGCAGUUUUUAAUGCAUAUGACUGAGACAGAGCAAGAGACAUGGAGAAGAAUUUCCCUGGGCCUUGAACAUGCACAGGAGCAGAAGUUCAGGAUCAGUGAUGCCAGGUCGGAGAUAAGAAGUAGAUGCCAAGAAAUAGAGCUGAAGAAACCAAGGCAUAGAAAGUUUGAAUCUUGGACCCACGAUCACAUAGGAAAUCAGAGGAAACAACAGAAAGCUUGGACGUGCUCUGCCUCUAUCCCUCUCUGUCAGCAGCUCUUGCCAGAGCCCAGUGAUGCUGAAACCCAUCAGAUUCAAGUUCUCUGGAUGGUGCUCGCCCAACACCUAUGGACAGGCACAAUAUUUCAAUGGUUUCAAGAAGGUAUCCUGGGAGAAGUGAACUGAAAUAUGGAGGAUGCCUUGGAAGAGGAAGGAGCUAGAAGAGAGCAUGGUGAAGUCUGUGGCCAGAGUGCUGUGGAUGGAGAAGGGAUGGAAGGAGGGAAUUCAGAAUUUCAGCGUCCCAGGAAAGCUUCGGUGUGCUAAAAGAGAAUGGAAGCAUUGAGAGCGUUUCACACGGCUCAGGAACCCUCCAAGAGGCGACGCCAGUUCUCCACGACAGUUACCUGUUCAACGGAACUUAACUAACACACCUGUGUAUCAUCCCUGCAACAUACACGUUCCGAGGAGGUGAUGAGAAAUGACCAGGAAGACACUUCACACUCAGUAGGCUAAGGUAGCCCAAGAUUAGGAAACCUCUAUCUUUCAAGGAAGACUGCUGGGAAACAUCCCAACAUUUACUCCAAAGGGAGGCAUUGCAUCUGUCCUGGUCCUGACCAACAAAUCUUUCCUCUCGUCUGGAGGAAGACACUAGCUCUGUGUUCUAAGGCUGUUUGCAAUACAAAUAUCCUUCAAAGGCUAGAG